RNAcentral lists this ribosomal RNA (484 nucleotides) under Porphyromonas cangingivalis. RNAcentral's name for it is "bacterial SSU rRNA". It matches the Rfam family "Bacterial small subunit ribosomal RNA", at positions 9 to 483 of the family's 1533-position model. Lineage: Bacteria; Pseudomonadati; Bacteroidota; Bacteroidia; Bacteroidales; Porphyromonadaceae. The record is from RNAcentral.
GAGUUUGAUCAUGGCUCAGGAUGAACGCUAGCGAUAGGCUUAACACAUGCAAGUCGAGGGGCAUCACGGGAUUAGCUUGCUAAUCUUGGUGGCGACCGGCGUAAGGGUGCGUAACGCGUAUGCAACUUGCCUGUCAGUGGGGAAUAACCCGGAGAAAUCCGGACUAAUACCGCAUACACUUUGGUUUCCGCAUGGGGACUUUAGGAAAGAUUUAUUGCUGACAGAUAGGCAUGCGUUCCAUUAGAUAGUUGGUGAGGUAACGGCUCACCAAGUCAACGAUGGAUAGGGGAGCUGAGAGGCUUAUCCCCCACACUGGAACUGAGACACGGUCCAGACUCCUACGGGAGGCAGCAGUGAGGAAUAUUGGUCAAUGGGCGAGAGCCUGAACCAGCCAAGUCGCGUGAAGGAAGACGGUCCUAUGGAUUGUAAACUUCUUUAGUAGGUGAGUACAAGCAGUUACGUGUAGCUGUAAGCAAGUACCUAG